Molecule: transfer-messenger RNA, 361 nt
Filed under: Crassaminicella indica
Lineage: Bacteria; Bacillati; Bacillota; Clostridia; Eubacteriales; Clostridiaceae
Description: Crassaminicella sp. 143-21 transfer-messenger RNA
Rfam family: transfer-messenger RNA
About the family: Bacterial tmRNA, also known as 10Sa RNA or SsrA, is named for its dual tRNA and mRNA-like properties. Its role is to liberate the mRNA from a stalled ribosome. To accomplish this part of the tmRNA is used as a reading frame that ends in a translation stop signal.
Source: RNAcentral
GGGGGCGUACAGGUUUCGACGGGGGUUUGGAGUCAAUAGUAGCGAGUGGAGGUUUUUCCUUGGGGUCCGCCUUAAAAAACUGGGGAAUUAAAUAUAAACGCAAACGAUAAUUACGCUUUAGCAGCUUAAUAAACAGCUGCUCGUUCUACCUAAGCUUCCCACGGUUUAGGAUAGAACGUCAUCAAGGUGGGGAACUGCUUUGGGGGUGUCUCGACCCAAAAGUGGAUUAAUUGAGACUGGUCUGAUCAAAAGCCUGUCAUUGGGCGUUUGUGAAGAUGAGAAUUUAAAACAAUGACUGCACUCGGAGAAGCUGUUGAUGAAGGACUUUCGGACAGGGGUUCGAUUCCCCUCGCCUCCACCA